This 251-nucleotide ribosomal RNA is filed under the name uncultured bacterium. RNAcentral describes it as "partial 16S ribosomal RNA". The record is from RNAcentral.
CUGCUGCCUCCCGUAGGAGUCUGGUCCGUGUCUCAGUACCAGUGUGGGGGACCUUCCUCUCAGAACCCCUAGACAUCGUCGCCUUGGUGGGCCGUUGCCCCGCCAACUAGCUAAUGUCACGCAUGCCCAUCCGUUGCCGGAAUCGCUCCCUUUGGCCGCAGGGCCAUGCAGCCCCGCGGCAUUACGCGGUAUUAGACGGGAUUUCUCCCGAUCAUCCCCCUGCAACGGGCAGGUCGCAUACGCGUUACUCA